This 497-nucleotide ribosomal RNA is filed under the name uncultured bacterium. RNAcentral's name for it is "partial 16S ribosomal RNA". It matches the Rfam family "Bacterial small subunit ribosomal RNA", at positions 28 to 507 of the family's 1533-position model. The record is from RNAcentral.
GAUGAACGCUGGCGGCGUGCCUAAUACAUGCAAGUCGAGCGAACAGACGAGGAGCUUGCUCCUCUGACGUUAGCGGCGGACGGGUGAGUAACACGUGGAUAACCUACCUAUAAGACUGGGAUAACUUCGGGAAACCGGAGCUAAUACCGGAUAAUAUAUUGAACCGCAUGGUUCAAUAGUGAAAGACGGUUUUGCUGUCACUUAUAGGUGGAUCCGCGCCGCAUUAGCUAGUUGGUAAGGUAACGGCUUACCAAGGCGACGAUGCGUAGCCGACCUGAGAGGGUGAUCGGCCACACUGGAACUGAGACACGGUCCAGACUCCUACGGGAGGCAGCAGUAGGGAAUCUUCCGCAAUGGGCGAAAGCCUGACGGAGCAACGCCGCGUGAGUGAUGAGGGUCUUCGGAUCGUAAAACUCUGUUAUUAGGGAAGAACAAAUGUGUAAGUAACUAUGCACGUCUUGACGGUACCUAAUCAGAAAGCCACGGCUAACUACGUG